CGAGUCUGAGGAGCUAAGGCUCCAAAGUGAUGCGUGUCAGACUUCCCAGAAAAGCCCGAACCACGUUAAUUUCUAAUUACCUGUACCCGAAACCGACACAGGUGGGUAGGUAGAGUAUACUAAGGGGCGCGAGAUAACUCUCUCUAAGGAACUCGGCAAAAUGACUCCGUAACUUCGGGAGAAGGAGUGCCUUAUUUAUAAGGUUGCAAUAACAAGAUCCAAGCAACUGUUUAUCAAAAACACAGGUCUCCGCUAAGUCGUAAGACGAUGUAUGGGGGCUGACGCCUGCCCAGUGCCAGAAGGUUAAAGAAGUUGGUUAGUGUAUGCGAAGCUGAUGACUGAAGCCCUGGUGAACGGCGGCCGUAACAAUAACGGUCCUAAGGUAGCGAAAUUCCUUGUCGGGUAAGUUCCGACCCGCACGAAAGGCGUAAUGAUUUGGAUACUGUCUCGGAGAGAGGCUCGGUGAAAUAGACUUGUCUGUGAAGAUGCGGACUACCUGCACCAGGACAGAAAGACCCUAUGAAGCUUUACUGUAACUUGAAAUUGGAAUUGGACUUUGCUUGCGCAGUAUAGGUGGGAAGCGUUGAAGAUAUUCUUGCGGGAGUAUUGGAGCUAUCAGUGAGAUACCACUCUUGUAAUGUUAGAUUUCUAACUUUGAACCAUAAUCUGGUCAAAGAACAGUUUCAGGUGGGCAGUUUGACUGGGGCGGUCGCCUCCCAAAUGGUAACGGAGGCGUACAAAGGUUUCCUCUGAACGGAUAGAAAUCGUAUCUAGAGUGUAAAGGCAUAAGGAAGCUUGACUGUGAGACCUACAAGUCGAGCAGGGACGAAAGUCGGUCUUAGUGAUCUGACGGUACUGAGUGGAAAGGCCGUCACUCAACGGAUAAAAGUUACUCUAGGAUAACAGGCUGAUCUCCCCCAAGAGUUCACAUCGACGGGGAGGUUUGGCACCUCGAUGUCGGCUCAUCGCAUCCUGGGGCGGUAGUACGUCCCAAGGGUUGGGCUGUUCGCCCAUGAAAGCGGUACGCGAGCUGGGUUCAGAACGUCGUGAGACAGUUCGGUCCAUAUCCGGUGUAGGCGUUAGAAUAUUGAGAGGAGCCUUCUUUAGUACGAGAGGACCGAGAAGGACACACCGCUGGUGUACCAGUUAUCGUGCCAACGGUAAACGCUGGGUAGCUAUGUGUGGAGUGGAUAACCGCUGAAAGCAUCUAAGUGGGAAGCCCACCUCAAGAUGAGUAUUCUCA
RNAcentral lists this ribosomal RNA (1243 nucleotides) under metagenome. RNAcentral describes it as "bacterial LSU rRNA". It matches the Rfam family "Bacterial large subunit ribosomal RNA", at positions 1564 to 2816 of the family's 2925-position model. The record is from RNAcentral.